Non-coding RNA from Nitrospira sp. HN-bin3, 229 nucleotides. NCBI's taxonomy places the organism in Bacteria, Pseudomonadati, Nitrospirota, Nitrospiria, Nitrospirales, Nitrospiraceae. The record is from Rfam.
GGGGGCGACCGGUUUCGACGGGGAUACUGAGGUCACUGUCGCAUGUCGAGCUCUCGGGAACUCGUAAAAGUCCGAGAAAACGCAACUGCCAAUCAAGAACUGGCACUCGCAGCCUAAUUUAGGCUGAGACGUCGUUCCAUCUGAGGCCCGCGGGGGUGGAACGGCGCGAUGCAGCGGGCUGGUCCCAGGCCGGUGCUCAGCGGCCGAGGACGAGACUAUCCUGGGCUAG